RNAcentral lists this non-coding RNA (261 nucleotides) under Paenibacillus xerothermodurans. RNAcentral's name for it is "Bacillus xerothermodurans Bacterial small subunit ribosomal RNA". It matches the Rfam family "Bacterial small subunit ribosomal RNA", at positions 1118 to 1378 of the family's 1533-position model. Lineage: Bacteria; Bacillati; Bacillota; Bacilli; Caryophanales; Paenibacillaceae. The record is from Rfam by way of RNAcentral.
UCCGCACAGUAAAGUGGGCGCACCUUUUCAUCGAUGGAGGAAAAGUCGAUAUACUUGUCGAUCUAACGAAGCACGUGAUCCUAUGGGACCAGUUCCUCGAGGGAUACAAAUUCUGGCCGGUACAACGGGAAGCGAAACCGCGAGGUGGAGCGAAUCUUUACAAGCCGGUCUCAGUUCGGAUUGCAGGCUGCAACUCGCCUGCAUGAAGUCGGAAUUGCUAGUAAUCGCGGAUCAGCAUGCCGCGGUGAAUACGUUCCCGGG